UCUAUAUUGAGACAAAGGAAAGGAUCCAUCCGAAAACAACACCUAUUAUCUUGGGCUUGGCAGCAAGGAAGAGGACAGGUAGUGGAAAUCCUACAAUCGGAAAAGCAGACUGAAAGGUGACAAAGAAGCUGAAGAUGGGUGGUGAAGAGAGGUAUAACAUUCCAGCCCCUCAAUCUAGAAAUGGUAGUAAGAACCAACAGAAGCUUAAUAGAAGACUAAGGAU
RNAcentral lists this long non-coding RNA (223 nucleotides) under Marmota monax (woodchuck). Lineage: Eukaryota; Metazoa; Chordata; Mammalia; Rodentia; Sciuridae. The record is from RNAcentral.